This 502-nucleotide ribosomal RNA is filed under the name uncultured bacterium. RNAcentral's name for it is "partial 16S ribosomal RNA". It matches the Rfam family "Bacterial small subunit ribosomal RNA", at positions 30 to 523 of the family's 1533-position model. The record is from RNAcentral.
AUUGAACGCUGGCGGCACGCUUAACACAUGCAAGUCGAGCGGUAACAUGACUAGUAGCAAUACUAGUUGAUGACGAGCGGCGGACGGGUGAGUAACACGUAGGAACUUGCCCAGUAGUGGGGGACAACCAAGGGAAACUUUGGCUAAUACCGCAUAUUCUCGAGAGAGGAAAGCUGCCGCAAGGUGGCGCUAUUGGAGAGGCCUGCGUCCGAUUAGCUAGUUGGUGAGGUAAAGGCUCACCAAGGCGAGGAUCGGUAACUGGUCUGAGAGGACGACCAGUCACACUGGGACUGAGACACGGACCAGACUCCUACGGGAGGCAGCAGUGGGGAAUCUUGGACAAUGGGGGCAACCCUGAUCCAGCGAUGCCGCGUGAGUGAAGAAGGCCUUCGGGUCGUAAAGCUCUUUAGGCUGGGAAGAAGGUUGGUAGUUUAAGAGAUAAUCAAUUUGACUGUACCAGCAGAAUAAGCACCGGCAAACUCUGUGCCAGCAGCCGCCGCGG